Molecule: transfer RNA, 87 nt
Filed under: Acidobacteriota bacterium
Lineage: Bacteria; Pseudomonadati; Acidobacteriota
Also listed under: 4 other names
Description: Acidobacteria bacterium tRNA-Leu
Rfam family: tRNA
About the family: Transfer RNA (tRNA) molecules are approximately 80 nucleotides in length.
Source: RNAcentral
GCGGAAGUGGCGGAAUUGGCAGACGCACCAGCUUGAGGGGCUGGCGCUCGCAAGAGCGUGGGGGUUCGAGUCCCCCCUUCCGCACCA